UACGAAGGGGGCUAGCGUUGCUCGGAAUGACUGGGCGUAAAGGGCGCGUAGGCGGAUGGCUUUGUCGGGCGUGAAAUUCCAGGGCUUAACCUUGGGGCUGCGUUCGAGACGGGUUGUCUUGAGUUCGGAAGAGGGUCGUGGAAUUCCCAGUGUAGAGGUGAAAUUCGUAGAUAUUGGGAAGAACACCGGUGGCGAAGGCGGCGACCUGGUCCGAGACUGACGCUGAGGCGCGAAAGCCAGGGGAGCAAACGGG
This 253-nucleotide ribosomal RNA is filed under the name uncultured bacterium. RNAcentral's name for it is "partial 16S ribosomal RNA". It matches the Rfam family "Bacterial small subunit ribosomal RNA", at positions 524 to 776 of the family's 1533-position model. The record is from RNAcentral.